UUUUGUGAUUCGUAAUUAGUAUACAAAACAACGAACUGCCUUGUUGCCAAACCAGGUAGGAUAAAAAGGUAAUAUAACAAAAAAUUUUAUAAAAAAAGAGCUCGAAUCAUGAACAGCAACAUGUUUUUUAAAUCAUAUUCAUUAUAAAGUAUGAUUAAUAUAAACAACAUUCGCAUUUAUAUUUGUUUCUAUAGCAUCGAUUAAUGUUGAAGCAGAGCUGUAAAGAAGUCUGCAGUUCUGCAACCGUUAUCAGGUAGAUAGCAUUUUUAGGCGUUUGUCGACACCGUGAGGCAGACCGUAAUCUCAUUAGACAAGCAAGCGAGUUAAACACGCUUGGACAGGAUCGACGGAUCGUUGAAAAAGAGAUCACGAAAUGACAAAACUGAAGAUUCUUAUAACUUACUGUGGUGCCUGAGGGUACCGUGGGAAGUUCAACAAGCUCAAACAAGAGCUUGAUGGACUCUUCCCAGGUCUUCUAGAUAUUACAGGAGAAGGUACUCCUGGUGUCACUGGCUACUUUGAAGUAGGAAUUGAGAAUGGCAAACUCCUUCACUCAAAGAAAAAUGGAAGUGGCUUUGUGGACACUCCUGCCAAGAUGCAGGCCAUUGUUGAUGGUAUUAAACUGGCUUUAGCUGAAUAACUAAUAAAGCCCCACUACUUAAACAUACCAUCUAGCAGGAGAAAAUGUGUUUUACUAGUAAUUACAAUGACUUGAGUGACAAGGAUGAAGGGGCUGAUUGAAAAACAUUUGUUGAAUCAGUUUCUGAUGGUUUAUUUUGUCUUACUCUUGUUAUUGAAAGAACAUGGUAAAAUACAAAUGAUUGCAUAACUGA
Daphnia pulex (common water flea) is the source of this 833-nucleotide long non-coding RNA. RefSeq lists it as uncharacterized. The record is from RefSeq and is a predicted model, not a curated record. The transcript is spliced from 5 exons. NCBI's taxonomy places the organism in Eukaryota, Metazoa, Arthropoda, Branchiopoda, Diplostraca, Daphniidae.